This is a long non-coding RNA of Herpailurus yagouaroundi (jaguarundi), 487 nucleotides long. RefSeq lists it as uncharacterized. The record is from RefSeq and is a predicted model, not a curated record. Lineage: Eukaryota; Metazoa; Chordata; Mammalia; Carnivora; Felidae. The transcript is spliced from 2 exons.
AGCGUCUCGCGAGAGCAAAACGGGAGUUCGGGACCAGCCGAGGGGCGGGGCCGGGUGGGGACGCGGCGCUCUUGAUUGGGCCAGGUUUAGGCUGUUAUCCGGCCUCACACCAUACCGGAAAUUAAAUUAGAUGGGUCAAGACUAAGGUGGGAAAGGUUAAGACUGAAACUUCUCAAAGGAAACAGGAAAGGAUCUCCAUGAACUUGAGGUCAGAUGGCUUCUGCGCUUUCAUGGAGGCAGUGGCUGGUCACUUUUCUGACCAUGAAGAGUUGUCCGGUUCGUUUUCAAACUACCAGAUUUCACCAAAAGAACCAGAACACGUCUCCUGCCGGCCGAUAGCCCUUUUCCACGACUAAGAACGUCUGCGGGAUGUUGGCACUCUGUGGAAAAAGACAACCGGAAGGAGCAUCAGCAGGUUUGUCCUCGUCCCCGGACCCCCCACACGAGGUGCAACCUCCCACAUUACACUACCCAGCGGGGACCACGU